GUGGGGAAUAUUCCGCAAUGGACGAAAGUCUGACGGAGCAACGCCGCGUGAGUGAUGAAGGUUUUCGGACUGUAAAGCUCUGUUGUUCAGGACGAAAGUGCCUGUUGCAAAUAGUUACAGGUAUUGACGGUACUGAACGAGGAAGCCACGGCUAACUACGUGCCAGCAGCCGCGGUAAUACGUAGGUGGCAAGUGUUGUCCGGAAUUAUUGGGCGUAAAGAGCAUGUAGGCGGGAAUCUAAGUCUGUUGUGAAAAUGCGGGGCUCAACCCCGUAUGGCGAUGGAAACUGGAUUUCUUGAGUGCAGGAGAGGAAAGGGGAAUUCCCAGUGUAGCGGUGAAAUGCGUAGAUAUUGGGAGGAACACCAGUGGCGAAGGCGCCUUUCUGGACUGUGUCUGACGCUGAGAUGCGAAAGCCAGGGUAGCGAACGGG
RNAcentral lists this ribosomal RNA (430 nucleotides) under uncultured bacterium. RNAcentral's name for it is "bacterial SSU rRNA". It matches the Rfam family "Bacterial small subunit ribosomal RNA", at positions 354 to 776 of the family's 1533-position model. The record is from RNAcentral.